AACGAACGCUGGCGGCAGGCCUAAAACAUGCAAGUCGAACGCCCCGCAAGGGGAGUGGCGCACGGGUGAGUAACGCGUGGGAACGUGCCCUUCACUACGGGACAACGUCGGGAAACUGACGCUAAUACCGUAUAAUGACUCCGGUCCAAAGAUUUAUCGGUGAAGGAGCGGCCCGCGUUUGAUUAGCUAGUUGGUGAGGUAAAGGCUUACCAAGGCUACGAUCAGUAGCAGGUCUGAGAGGAUGAUCUGCCACACUGGGACUGAGACACGGCCCAGACUCCUACGGGAGGCAGCAGUUAGGAAUAUUGGACAAUGGCGAAAGCCUGAUCCAGCCAUGCCGCGUGUGUGAUGAAGGCCCUAGGGUUGUAAAGCACUUUCGUUGGGGAUGAUAAUGACCGUACCCAAAGAAGAAGCACCGGCUAACUUCGUGCCAGCCGCCGCGGUAA
RNAcentral lists this ribosomal RNA (446 nucleotides) under uncultured bacterium. Its description in RNAcentral is "partial 16S ribosomal RNA". It matches the Rfam family "Bacterial small subunit ribosomal RNA", at positions 29 to 523 of the family's 1533-position model. The record is from RNAcentral.